ACUGAACGCUGGCGGCAUGCCUUACACAUGCAAGUCGAACGGCAGCACGGGUGCUUGCACCUGGUGGCGAGUGGCGAACGGGUGAGUAAUACAUCGGAACAUGUCCUGUAGUGGGGGAUAGCCCGGCGAAAGCCGGAUUAAUACCGCAUACGAUCCACGGAUGAAAGCGGGGGACCUUCGGGCCUCGCGCUAUAGGGUUGGCCGAUGGCUGAUUAGCUAGUUGGUGGGGUAAAGGCCUACCAAGGCGACGAUCAGUAGCUGGUCUGAGAGGACGACCAGCCACACUGGGACUGAGACACGGCCCAGACUCCUACGGGAGGCAGCAGUGGGGAAUUUUGGACAAUGGGCGAAAGCCUGAUCCAGCAAUGCCGCGUGUGUGAAGAAGGCCUUCGGGUUGUAAAGCACUUUUGUCCGGAAAGAAAUCCUUGACUCUAAUACAGUCGGGGGAUGACGGUACCGGAAGAAUAAGCACCGGCUAACUACGUG
Molecule: ribosomal RNA, 486 nt
Filed under: uncultured bacterium
Lineage: Bacteria
Description: partial 16S ribosomal RNA
Rfam family: Bacterial small subunit ribosomal RNA
Source: RNAcentral